UUUGGUUUUUUUUGCUCAGCAGGCUCCUUGUACGGUUUGCCAGCGGCACGUUUUAUUUCAACAGUAGGGUUAGACUCUUAUGCACACACCCCUUUUGCUUCUCCGUGGAUUUUGUGAGAACGGAAGGCUGUGCUCGUCUUUAUUUGCAUUUACUGAGUGGGUGCUUUUGAGAGCGAGUGGGUUCGUUUGCUUGUUGGGCUUGCGGCACCGAUUGUGUGUGGCCUGAUUGAUUGCUCUGUCUCUGGACUCUGUCCCUUGCCUCUAGGGGCUUUCUGCUUACUUUGGGGUUGCUUUGGAAAUCUACGGUACUCUCCUUCCUUUUUGGCUUGGAAGUUUGUAUCCUGACUGUUGCCCUAUUUUGUUCUGGGUUUUUGCCCAGUUCGGUUUCUGGUCUUUAAGGGGCGUCGCCUUCGUCGCCAUUUUGAUUAAGGGCAGCGUGGUCGGGGCAGUCGGUCAUUUUGGGAGAGGCACGUGGCCCUGUCACUUGUUUUGAGUAAACGGCGGGAAGCAGCUCUUUCACCAGCUCUCAACUUACUUGCUGGCAUUCCUCUGUGCUUUUAGGGGUUUUCAGGCUUGCAUCUCCCCCUUCCUCUUAUUAAUUCUGAGCUGCUUUGUUCCACUUUUGUUUAGAUUCUUUCUGCGUUUUCACUCCUAAUUUUCUGCCCAGUUUACCUUGUUGCUCUGGAAGUCCUGGUUUAUAUCCCCUGCUCCAUGGGCCUUUUACUUUCUGCCCAACUGUAAAAUAAAAUUGAUAAAAGCAAUAAAAACAAAAUUGAAGUAGGUUAAAAUAGAACUAGUAAUAAGAAAUAAGUAAUAAUAAUAACUCUAGCUUUCAUUUGAAUACGUUUUGUCCUAUUUGGAUUCUGCCAGUUGGUUUGGUGAUUCUUGCUGAUCGCCUGCCUGCUCAUUUUGUGCUUAUAGUUGCUGGUUAGUGUGGUCAGUGCUAAGCCCAAGGCUGCUGGCUUUUUAGUGUCAACAAUACUGCCUCUGACUGCCUCCUGGUGUUGCAGCCAGUGUCUAGGCAGUACUAGACAGUCCUUUCGAAGUUCCAUCUGUUAAGCUUGGUGUAGGUAAUACUGAGCUUGCUUGAUUGUGCACAGGUGCCACUGCCUGCCAGUGUGGCCACUAUUGAGAUUAGCUGAUUACACUGCACUGUGCACAGAUGGUGCUGGCUGCCGGCCUGCUUAUGCAAUAUCGACCUUAGUUGACUUCUGGCCCGGGUAGUGCUUGCUGCUGGCCAGUGUAGACAGUGCCGAGCCUGUUUUACAACGCUGCUCUGCCCUGCUUGUGUUGCUGCCGGCCUGUGUGUCCUGUCAUCUGUUAGUUAUUUCAGCUCCUUAUUGAAUUGUCCCUGGGCCAAGUCGCCAUGCCCGUAAACUCCAAGCAGAAGGUGGCCGUUUCCCCUCCACGCACCAGGCGUGGGACUGUUAGGCUUCCUCCUGCCCAAGCCCCCGCUAGUCAAGGGUCUGCUUUGUUACCUCGCCAAGUUUCUCUGACUGCAAUGGGAAAUAGUGUUGGUGUGACUUCUGAAGUCAUACCCCCUACCCAGACUGACGUAGUGCCCGCAUCAAGACCCAAUCACGCCUUCAUACGUUUCAUCGAGGGGCUCGAAGGCUUGGUCCACAGUUUCAAAGCUCGGGCACUGAACCAAUCACACGCCUUGUCCUCAACCCAGGGUCAUGUGGUGGGAUCUUCAUCGGCUUUUUCUGGCUUUUCACCUUACCAACCCCCUUCAACCCAGGCAUCGCCUCCGGGUUUUUUGCCAACUUCUCCAGGCCAUACCUAUUCUCACCCGCCUCCAGUACAAUUGACGCCAGAGCUUCCUAGCACGUCAUCCGUUUUGUUUAACCAGUCCUCGACCACAUCUGCUAGCGUAUUUCAGGGUGCCCAAGUGGCCAGCCGUCCUGUGGCUGCAAUAGCACAGUCUCAAGGUGCUGCUGCUGCAACAACGGUGCAGGGACCGAGUGGCUCAGGGGUUUCAGUUGCAGUAGCUGAAAAGCGGAAGAGAGGGCCUGGUCAGGAUCAGAAUGCUGGGCCUAAGUCUCCGGCAAAGAAGUGCAAAAGGAAGCGUAGUGGUAAAGGAAAGAAGAAAAGGCGCAAGGAUGACUAUGAUGAUGAUGAUGAGUCAGGCACAUCAAGUUCAGAUGAUAGCGAUUCCUCGCUUGGUUGUUAUUGGGGUGAAGGAGAGGAUUUGGGGGCCCUCCCAUACUGGUGCUUGGAGCGGAGAGCCAACUCCCACCGUAAACGGUUUGGGGGAACUCUAGAGUGGAAGGACGGGGCUUUGGUGGAACAGGUAAACACUACAGAUGUUCCUGGCAAUGUUCCUGGCUAUCAUUUGAGCACAAAAUUGCGGGCAAAAAUUCUGAAUGGGGAAUAUGUGGACAUAUUCAAAUUAGUGCCGACAUGGAUUGCGAUGCGUAGGGGAAAGUUGAAGUGCCGGAAUGGGGCACCUCAGGUUGAGAGGUCCUUCGCCAAUUGGCUUGAGGGUUUCUAUGUUUUUAUUGGAGUGGUAUCCAUGGCCUACCCUAAGCGGGCGUGGCAUCUUAUCAACUACCUCAAAAUUGUAAGGGAGGUGUAUGCUCUGGCAGGAGAAGAUGCCGCAAUUGCUUAUGACACAGAAUUUCGCCGGAACGCUUCCCACCUAUCCAACACCAGAUGGGAUCAGCUGGAUCAGCCAUUAUGGUUUGAGCUUGUGUGUUCGGAAAAUAACAACAAACCGCAGGAGGCUAGCAGGCAUCCUAAGUUCGCCUCCAAGCAUAAAUCCUCAUCAUAAAGUCUGCUGGGAUUUCAAUGAUGGGACUUGCCAACGGGCGAACUGCAAAUUUCCCCAUAAAUGCGAGAGGUGCCUUGGAACUCACCCCUGCAUUUCUUGUAAUUGGGGUUAAGCAGCCCUUUUGGGGGGCUGGGGGUUUCAUGCUCGGGGAGCCCCCAGCGCAGCCCCAAAAUCGGGCAUGCAAGGCAUACAUGAACAAUAGUUGCUUCUCACUUGCAAGCCUCCCCAUGAAGCUCAAUUCACUCAAACGAUUACUUGAUGAAUACUCAAAUCCCGAGUCGACUUAAUACAUUUGGGACGGUUUCUUUUUCUUGUAAAUAAUUUUUAUUAAUUUUCAAUUAAAGGCAUUCCAAUUAAUAAUAAAAUUGAAUCUUGCCACAUUAAAACACACACAAUAAAACCAAUGUUACAAUCUGAAUUAAAUAAUUUCAAGGGAGCUUCCCGUGUUCUGGAUGUCAGGAACAAUGUUCCUGCGUUCAUUUCUUUUGUUCCCCAGCUUCAUAAAUCCAAUCUUAACCAUUAUUUUAUGCAGUCCUGGUGUGGAACUCUCGUGUCCAUUAAAUCCAUUUCUAUUCUAACACAGGAGGCAAUUUUUUCUGUUGCUGUUGUUCAUUCAUAUAUAUAGAUAUAUAUGAUUUGCAUAGUCCUCUCCGUGACCCCAUCUUUGAUUUUCCGCUUUAUCUUCCAGGCUCCAGGCUCUGUUCCCACUUUUCUCAACAGGUGCCAACCCUCCUUCUUUUGAUAAGAUUUAUGGCACAGCAGUCUUUAGGUCUUUCAGACUUCUAAUAAGUUAGUAUUCCAAAUAUAAAUGAACUUUAUAUCCCACGCAAUGCCGUGGGAUAUAUUUCACUAAUUGUUUGGUGAAUGUUUAGCUUAGCUCAUCUAAGGAUGCAUGCCCGAUUCCCCGGGCCCUAGGGAAGCGAGCCAAAUCAAAAUUUCACAUUUGCAUUCACAUUACACCAUAUAUUGAAAAGGGAAAGGAAAUCCAUGCAACCAAAUGCAGUUUUUUUAAUGUGAAAUAUUCCCUGAUGUGUCCAAAUGUCUGGGGGAGGCUGUUUCUUUUUCUUCUAUGCCAUAGCUGCCAUUUUUUUUCAUCCCAAGCCUCUUCAUAUCUGAUCUUGGUUUGCCAGUUCUAAUUGGGGCUCUCCGCCGAGAGCCACGCAGCUUAAAUAUUGAAUUCCUUUCUUGCAAGGUUCGGAAAGUCGUGAUUAGCAAAUGUAGAAAAAGAUAUAGGUGCUCACCUCAUGAUGACGCACCACGAUGAAAGUCCUUUUCAAAUGAAAGCUCUGGCAUCCAGUGACUGAUUUAAUUAGCAAGGGGUUUUUUUUAUCUCCUCCUUUCCAGAACACGCCUGUUUCUUAGUCCAAAUUUUAAUGAUUUUAGGAAACAGGGCUCUCCCCCACUCAUGGCGAUGACUCUGGAGAGUUGCCAAUUCAUGCAGUGCAGCCUCAUCCAGCAUCCCUUCUGUAGCGAGUGGCAGUUAUCGGACGAACUGCGGGUGACGGCCAGUCCCCCCCUACCCUGGGGGGGGGGUCAGCAGGGAUAAUUACCCCUGAAAAUCUGCAUGGUUGGGGUCUGGUGUUCUGGGAAAGCAGCCAGCAGCCAUGGCAGGAAAUCAGCCAUUUGGGUCGGUUUCAAUCGGGGCUUCCGAAUUCCUGUUUCUUUUCCCUUAGCUCCCAGGAUCCACCAAAUUAAAAACUGGUGUAUUUUUAUCAUGCACAAUUUAACAUUUAAUUCCAUUUCCUUCAGAUGGUACAGGGGCUCUCAGAUGCAGCUUCCGGGCUGCCUCCACUUUCCCCGAAGGUAGCCAGGCUGAAUAGUUGCUGGGGUCAGGGAAGGUGGAGGCAGCCCGGAAGCUGCACCAUCUGAAGGCAGCCAGGCAUUCCCUGGCUGCAUGCAAGCAGGCAUGGGGGCAGGAAUCUCUCAGCUGGGAAGAGGGGAGGCUUAGCUCCCCAGCUGAGCAUUUAGAAUUAAAACUGAAACUUUCCAGAAAACUUGUGAAAAAGCAGCAACACAAGAAUUUUUUUUAAAAAGCAAACCAACCGCAAAUGAAUCAAAAUCACAAGAAAACAUAAAACACUGACCUAAACCUGAUUCUAAUUCUUACCCUAACGCUAACCCAGUCCUAAAAUUAACCCAAACCCAGAAAUGUUCUGGUUAGAUUUUCCGAUUGAGCCAGUACAUAGGUACAUUUGUCAGUGAAUUGCUAAAUAUGGUAAUGUGCAGCAGAGGCUCUUUUUCUUUGCCACGUGGUUUGACUGAAUUUCCGUCUGUUGCGCAGCUGGCACAUGGAGUGUGUUUGCGCUAUAAACUCAAUUCCUAAACCAUUCAUGUUUAGGCAAGUCUAACCCACCCUGCAGAAUCUCAUUUUUCCCUUCCUUUCUGUAGAUGCUAUUUAUUCUGGAAUGCUUCCAAAUGCUAAUUGUGUGCAUGUUUGUGUGGAAAACCCACACCUACUACAAAGCUAUGAGCAGAGCAAUUCUAGCCGCGCCUACUCAGCUCUUACUCCCAGGGAAGUAAGGGUAGUGACGGUUGGUGCAUUUCUCAAGAUAACAGCAACGGUUUUCCUUCGACAGCAGCUGCGCCUCAGCGCUUGUACAUUUUCCCCCAGGCUACCCUGAAGGGCCUCAAGGAAGACACGCUGCUCUUUCCCCCUGCUUUUAUAACUUUCUUUUAAAUGUAUAGGAACCGUUCAUUGUUGUUUUCACACGUUUCUCAUUUUAGGAUUGCAGCUGUUUUUUCUUUUUUAAUAUUUGCACCCCACUUUUCCAACAACAAAUGUUGAGCUCCAAGGGGUUUUCAAUAACUGCAUUAAAAAACAAACAAGACUUGCAGUCACUAUAAUAUCAAGCGUUGUGCUUCCCCGGCCCCCGUUUUUUUCCUUCCAGUGGCUGCAGCAGCAGCUACAACAAAGGCACCAGGACCCAUUCCUGGAGUUUUCUGACUGGAGUUUUCCUGGAGUUUUCUGACGGGAGAGACCCAAGUCUUUGCAACUUCCAGAUUGAGUAAUGCUGUGGUAGAAUGUCGUGGAUUCUGUGGCAUUUUGCUCAUUGCACCAAUUCGUUUGGCUACUUGGUGAGCAACUGCUUCAACAGCUGCGGCUAACGUUUAGAUCAGUUUCCACGUGUUUCAAAAUUGAAAGUUCAGAUUGUUGCAAUGCCCCUUUCAAGCCUGCAGUUUGCCUCACACUGCUAGCUGCAAAAGGAUUCGAGCUACUAUUUAAGCGCCUCUUCUGUGCAGCCAAUAGGUUUACACAUCGUGGCAGGAAAUCAGGAAAGAGUAAAGUGGCCCACCCCGGAAAAUGUGAGGAGGAGGAGCGCCGCAUGCUCUUCAUCGAGAGGUGCCGUCAGAAGGGAAUUGAUCUCUUCUGCCUGGGCACUUGGUACUGGACAGCAAUGAGAGAGGCGAAAUGAUAAGCCAUGAUGAUGAUGCUGUAGAGAGACACAGCCUGGGAGCGCCUGAAGAGACAGAAGCUGCCCUAAGGGGAAAAGGUGUUUCCCAAUCCAUAAGAAAGGCAGGGGAUCACCAUAAUUAUCAGGGUAGAGGAAUCACAUCUAAGUGUACCAUCUUAUUUGCAUUCAUUAUUAUCAUCCUCUUCCUCAUCACCAUCAUUGCUCUUGCUGUCCAGAGAGGGGGGAAAUCCAACCAGACUUGCCCUGAUGGGAAUAACUGUGCUGUUUUGGGACCAGCGUGCCCAGCUGGCUGGGUUGGCUAUGAAGGGAAGUGUUACUUUUUCUCAGAAGAAGAAAGAAACUGGACUUCUGCCCAGAGCUUUUGCAUUUCCCAGGGCUCUUCUCUGGCUGUGAUUCAGAGUGAGCUGGAAAUGGUGAGACCAACAAAUGUAUAAAGGUCUCUGUCAGAAGUUCGUUCUCCUCCCACAAUUGGCAUUAUUUGAGGUAGCAGGCUCAUUUGGAGGCAUUGCUCUAAUCUGUUUGUGUGUUUUCGACCAAGGUGUUCAUGCUCCGGUUCAAGGGCGAAGCUGACCAUUGGAUUGGCCUCCGGAAGGACUUCAAUGGUACCUGGAUAUGGGCAGAUGGGUCAGAAUACUGUAACACGUUGGUGGUGAAAGGAAGUGAAUACUGUACAUAUCUAAGCAAGGAGUUUGUCAUUGCCUCCCGUUGCCACAUACCAAUAAAGUGGAUCUGCAAUCACCCUGAUGCGUAUAUGAGGAAUGUAAACUCUACAGCAGGAAAAGUCAUAUGCCAAGAGGAAUUCUGAUUGUUAUUAGAGUCCCGAAUAGGACCACAUUUCCUUGGAAAGAACCCUGAGGACACGAGUCAAUAUCUGUGCAGCUUGUGUAAAUUUCAGUUUGGUGUUAUUCAAGGCUUUUAAAAAUGUAUUUAUUUAUGUAUCAUAAUUUUUUUGAAAAUUAGCAAAAUUGAUUCUUUUUGUAAAAGAUCUUUUAAAAAGUUAUGUAAAUGCCUUCUUAUUUUUAUUUUUAAUUUUUAUCUGCCUUUUUUUAUACAAAAACAAAAGAAAAAUAACCUAUCCCACAUCCCCUUCCCUCCAUCCCUCAGUCGUACGACUUUGAUAUCAAUCUCAACAUACAAAUAAAUGUCUGAUAGCUUCCCUUGCACCCUUUUCUUCGUUUCUUUACCUUUCUGCUAAAUAGUGUAUUCCAAAUUUUUAAUCUUCAACGUUCCUUUUUUGUUAAAUGCUGUUAAUUCUGUUGAUUUCUAUUCUGCUGGAUUUACUCAAGACCUGCUGGGUUAUUUACUUGUUGUUGUUUAGUCAUUUUGUCGUCUCCGACUCUUCGUGACCCCAUGGACCACAGCACUGCCAGGCACUUGUUACUUAUUUAUACUGGUUCUUAAAAUAUUCAAUAAACGUUUUCCAAUCCUCCUUA
Molecule: non-coding RNA, 7619 nt
Organism: Podarcis muralis (Common wall lizard)
Lineage: Eukaryota; Metazoa; Chordata; Lepidosauria; Squamata; Lacertidae
Source: RefSeq, a predicted model, not a curated record